This 71-nucleotide transfer RNA is filed under the name Lepisosteus oculatus (spotted gar). It matches the Rfam family "tRNA". From Rfam's summary of the family: Transfer RNA (tRNA) molecules are approximately 80 nucleotides in length. Their secondary structure includes four short double-helical elements and three loops (D, anti-codon, and T loops). Lineage: Eukaryota; Metazoa; Chordata; Actinopteri; Semionotiformes; Lepisosteidae. The record is from Rfam by way of RNAcentral.
GCAUUAGUGAUUCAAUGGAAGAAUUUUUGCCUGUCACUCUAAAUACCUGGGUUCUAAUCAUGGCCAAUGCC